CCCUGCGCCCCGGCCGUCUGCGCGUAGGACUGUCAAUCCGUAGGUCCCUGGUUCGAGCCCAGGUCGGGGAGCCA
RNAcentral lists this transfer RNA (74 nucleotides) under Leptothrix sp. (in: b-proteobacteria). RNAcentral's name for it is "tRNA-Asp". The record is from RNAcentral. Lineage: Bacteria; Pseudomonadati; Pseudomonadota; Betaproteobacteria; Burkholderiales; Sphaerotilaceae. RNAcentral also lists the same sequence under 2 other names.